UCCUCUCCAUCCUCUUGCUCGAAAUAGCCUUCGUAGUCGCGCUCCUCCUCCUCCUCGCCUUCCUCGUGCACCCCAUCGAGAAGCGCGGCUUCAUCGUCGGCGUCUUCUGCAUCGUCUUCUGUAUCAUGAUCUACCUCGCUCCCCUCUCUGUCAUGGUAUGUACACUACAUUCAUCUCCAUUAUGAUAACAUAGAAUCUAAAUAACCAAAUUAAGGUUUUUAAUAUGCAUGCAGAAACUGGUGAUGAAGACAAAGAGCGUGGAGUACAUGCCGUUUUACCUAUCCUUGGCCUCCUUAGCCAACGGCGCUUGCUGGACAGCUUACGCCUUGAUCAAAAUCGAGUGGUUCAUUA
This 351-nucleotide long non-coding RNA is filed under the name Linum usitatissimum (flax). Its description in RNAcentral is "long non-coding RNA (LUSI_LNC005272)". The record is from RNAcentral. Lineage: Eukaryota; Viridiplantae; Streptophyta; Magnoliopsida; Malpighiales; Linaceae.